This 429-nucleotide ribosomal RNA is filed under the name uncultured Acidobacterium sp. RNAcentral's name for it is "bacterial SSU rRNA". It matches the Rfam family "Bacterial small subunit ribosomal RNA", at positions 958 to 1385 of the family's 1533-position model. Lineage: Bacteria; Pseudomonadati; Acidobacteriota; Terriglobia; Terriglobales; Acidobacteriaceae. The record is from RNAcentral.
AACGCGAAGAACCUUACCUGGGCUCGAAAUGCAGGAGACCGGGGUAGAAAUAUCCUUUCCCCGCAAGGGGCUGCUGUAUAGGUGCUGCAUGGCUGUCGUCAGCUCGUGUCGUGAGAUGUUGGGUUAAGUCCCGCAACGAGCGCAACCCUCAUCCCUAGUUGCCACCGGGUAAUGCCGAGCACUCUAGUGAAACCGCCCCGGAUAACGGGGAGGAAGGUGGGGAUGACGUCAAGUCCUCAUGGCCUUUAUGUCCAGGGCUACACACGUGCUACAAUGGUCGGUACAAACCGUCGCAAAGCCGCAAGGUGGAGCUAAUCGGAAAAAGCCGGCCUCAGUUCGGAUUGGAGUCUGCAACUCGACUCCAUGAAGCUGGAAUCGCUAGUAAUCGCAGAUCAGAACGCUGCGGUGAAUACGUUCCCGGGCCUUGUA